UAACAGUCUAAAAAAGAAAUGAAAGUGUCCACAGGAACCCACUCGAACCCACCGGGUUCAUGCCCCAAAAGGAGAAGAAACGUUUUCCUGGGAGCCUGCUGAUUAUACAAAGGAAAAAGGCAUUUCUAUGUCAGGUGUUGUUCCCUUAUCUGAGUGAGCCAGAGUGAAAUGAAGGUUUUCAGUCCUCAGUAGUGUCUACCUUCAGUCCUGAAAAUUCUGAAUCCUCUCAACUAUAUGAUGUGAAAGAAGAGAGCAUAAAGAAAAACAUUCAACCAUAUCACAACUGCAAAGGAAAAUAAACACAUUCAAC
Molecule: long non-coding RNA, 310 nt
Filed under: Homo sapiens (human)
Lineage: Eukaryota; Metazoa; Chordata; Mammalia; Primates; Hominidae
Description: HSALNT0286135
Source: RNAcentral